UAUUGCACAAUGGGGGAAACCCUGAUGCAGCGACGCCGCGUGAAGGAAGAAGUAUCUCGGUAUGUAAACUUCUAUCAGCAGGGAAGAAAAUGACGGUACCUGACUAAGAAGCCCCGGCCAACUACGUGCCAGCAGCCGCGGUAAUACGUAGGGGGCAAGCGUUAGCCGGAUUUACUGGGUGUAAAGGGGGCGCAGACGGCAGCGCAAGCCAGGAGUGAAAGCCCGGGGCCCAACCCCGGGGCUGCGCUUGGAACUGCGCGGCUGGAGUGCAGGAGGGGCAGGCGGAAUUCCUAGUGUAGCGGUGAAAUGCGUAGAUAUCAGGAGGAACACCGGUGGCGAAGGCGGCCUGCUGGACUGCGACUGACGUUGAGGCCCGAAAGCGUGGGGAGCAAACAG
RNAcentral lists this ribosomal RNA (396 nucleotides) under uncultured bacterium. Its description in RNAcentral is "bacterial SSU rRNA". It matches the Rfam family "Bacterial small subunit ribosomal RNA", at positions 362 to 775 of the family's 1533-position model. The record is from RNAcentral.